Molecule: ribosomal RNA, 466 nt
Filed under: uncultured bacterium
Lineage: Bacteria
Description: bacterial SSU rRNA
Rfam family: Bacterial small subunit ribosomal RNA
Source: RNAcentral
CCAGACUCCUACGGGAGGCAGCAGUGAGGAAUAUUGGUCAAUGGGAGAGAUCCUGAACCAGCCAAGCCGCGUGAGGGAAGACGGCCCUAUGGGUUGUAAACCUCUUUUGUCGGAGAACAAAACCCGGGACGUGUCCCGGACUGCGUGUAUCCGAAGAAAAAGCAUCGGCUAACUCCGUGCCAGCAGCCGCGGUAAUACGGGGGGUGCAAGCGUUGUCCGGAAUCAUUGGGCGUAAAGCGUUCGUAGGCGGUAAAGUAAGUCAGAUGUUAAAGCCCGGGGCUCAACUCCGGUUCGGCAUUUGAUACUACUUGACUAGAAUGCGGUAGAGGUAAAGGGAAUUCCUGGUGUAGCGGUGAAAUGCGUAGAUAUCAGGAGGAACAUCGGUGGCGAAAGCGCUUUACUGGGCCGUUAUUGACGCUGAGGAACGAAAGCCAGGGUAGCAAACGGGAUUAGAUACCCUGGUAAU